This 377-nucleotide ribosomal RNA is filed under the name uncultured bacterium. RNAcentral describes it as "bacterial SSU rRNA". It matches the Rfam family "Bacterial small subunit ribosomal RNA", at positions 335 to 705 of the family's 1533-position model. The record is from RNAcentral.
ACUCCUACGGGAGGCUGCAGUAGGGAAUCUUCCGCAAUGGACGCAAGUCUGACGGAGCAACGCCGCGUGAGUGAUGAAGGUUUUCGGAUCGUAAAGCUCUGUUGCCAGGGACGAAAAGCACUGGGAGUAACUGCCCAGUGUGUGACGGUACCUGAGAAGAAAGCCCCGGCUAACUACGUGCCAGCAGCCGCGGUAAUACGUAGGGGGCAAGCGUUGUCCGGAAUUAUUGGGCGUAAAGCGCGCGCAGGCGGCCAUUUAAGUUUGGUGUAUAAUCCCGGGGCUCAACCCCGGUCCGCAUCGAAAACUGGGUGGCUUGAGUGCGGGAGAGGAAAGUGGAAUUCCAUGUGUAGCGGUGAAAUGCGUAGAUAUGUGGAGGA